This 580-nucleotide ribosomal RNA is filed under the name Streptomyces sp. ACM29. Its description in RNAcentral is "bacterial SSU rRNA". It matches the Rfam family "Bacterial small subunit ribosomal RNA", at positions 24 to 621 of the family's 1533-position model. Lineage: Bacteria; Bacillati; Actinomycetota; Actinomycetes; Kitasatosporales; Streptomycetaceae. The record is from RNAcentral.
UCAGGACGAACGCUGGCGGCGUGCUUAACACAUGCAAGUCGAACGAUGAAGCCUUUCGGGGUGGAUUAGUGGCGAACGGGUGAGUAACACGUGGGCAAUCUGCCCUGCACUCUGGGACAAGCCCUGGAAACGGGGUCUAAUACCGGAUGAUACUUUUCCCUGCAUGGGGAAGGGUUGAAAGCUCCGGCGGUGCAGGAUGAGCCCGCGGCCUAUCAGCUUGUUGGUGGGGUGAUGGCCUACCAAGGCGACGACGGGUAGCCGGCCUGAGAGGGCGACCGGCCACACUGGGACUGAGACACGGCCCAGACUCCUACGGGAGGCAGCAGUGGGGAAUAUUGCACAAUGGGCGAAAGCCUGAUGCAGCGACGCCGCGUGAGGGAUGACGGCCUUCGGGUUGUAAACCUCUUUCAGCAGGGAAGAAGCGAAAGUGACGGUACCUGCAGAAGAAGCGCCGGCUAACUACGUGCCAGCAGCCGCGGUAAUACGUAGGGCGCAAGCGUUGUCCGGAAUUAUUGGGCGUAAAGAGCUCGUAGGCGGCUUGUCACGUCGGUUGUGAAAGCCCGGGGCUUAACUCCGGGUC